RNAcentral lists this ribosomal RNA (2934 nucleotides) under Bacillus amyloliquefaciens. RNAcentral's name for it is "bacterial LSU rRNA". It matches the Rfam family "Bacterial large subunit ribosomal RNA". Lineage: Bacteria; Bacillati; Bacillota; Bacilli; Caryophanales; Bacillaceae. RNAcentral also lists the same sequence under 2 other names. The record is from RNAcentral.
CGGUUAAGUUAGAAAGGGCGCACGGUGGAUGCCUUGGCACUAGGAGCCGAUGAAGGACGGGACGAACACCGAUAUGCUUCGGGGAGCUGUAAGCAAGCUUUGAUCCGGAGAUUUCCGAAUGGGGAAACCCACCACUCGUAAUGGAGUGGUAUCCAUAUCUGAAUACAUAGGGUAUGAGAAGGCAGACCCGGGGAACUGAAACAUCUAAGUACCCGGAGGAAGAGAAAGCAAAUGCGAUUCCCUGAGUAGCGGCGAGCGAAACGGGACCAGCCCAAACCAAGAGGCUUGCCUCUUGGGGUUGUAGGACACUCUGUACGGAGUUACAAAGGAACGAGGUAGAUGAAGAGGUCUGGAAAGGCCCGCCAUAGGAGGUAACAGCCCUGUAGUCAAAACUUCGUUCUCUCCUGAGUGGAUCCUGAGUACGGCGGAACACGUGAAAUUCCGUCGGAAUCCGGGAGGACCAUCUCCCAAGGCUAAAUACUCCCUAGUGACCGAUAGUGAACCAGUACCGUGAGGGAAAGGUGAAAAGCACCCCGGAAGGGGAGUGAAAGAGAUCCUGAAACCGUGUGCCUACAAGUAGUCAGAGCCCGUUAACGGGUGAUGGCGUGCCUUUUGUAGAAUGAACCGGCGAGUUACGAUCCCGUGCAAGGUUAAGCAGAAGAUGCGGAGCCGCAGCGAAAGCGAGUCUGAAUAGGGCGAAUUGAGUACGUGGUCGUAGACCCGAAACCAGGUGAUCUACCCAUGUCCAGGGUGAAGUUCAGGUAACACUGAAUGGAGGCCCGAACCCACGCACGUUGAAAAGUGCGGGGAUGAGGUGUGGGUAGGGGUGAAAUGCCAAUCGAACCUGGAGAUAGCUGGUUCUCUCCGAAAUAGCUUUAGGGCUAGCCUCAAGGUAAGAGUCUCGGAGGUAGAGCACUGAUUGGACUAGGGGCCCCUACCGGGUUACCGAAUUCAGUCAAACUCCGAAUGCCGAUGACUUAUCCUUGGGAGUCAGACUGCGAGUGAUAAGAUCCGUAGUCGAAAGGGAAACAGCCCAGACCGCCAGCUAAGGUCCCAAAGUAUACGUUAAGUGGAAAAGGAUGUGGAGUUGCUUAGACAACCAGGAUGUUGGCUUAGAAGCAGCCACCAUUUAAAGAGUGCGUAAUAGCUCACUGGUCGAGUGACUCUGCGCCGAAAAUGUACCGGGGCUAAACGUAUCACCGAAGCUGCGGACUGUUCUUCGAACAGUGGUAGGAGAGCGUUCUAAGGGCUGUGAAGCAAGACCGGAAGGACUUGUGGAGCGCUUAGAAGUGAGAAUGCCGGUAUGAGUAGCGAAAGAGGGGUGAGAAUCCCCUCCACCGAAUGCCUAAGGUUUCCUGAGGAAGGCUCGUCCGCUCAGGGUUAGUCGGGACCUAAGCCGAGGCCGAAAGGCGUAGGCGAUGGAUAACAGGUUGAUAUUCCUGUACCACCUCCUCACCAUUUGAGCAAUGGGGGGACGCAGGAGGAUAGGGUAAGCGCGGUAUUGGAUAUCCGCGUCCAAGCAGUUAGGCUGGGAAAUAGGCAAAUCCGUUUCCCGUGAAGGCUGAGCUGUGAUGGCGAGCGAAUUAUAGUAGCGAAGUUCCUGAUUCCACACUGCCAAGAAAAGCCUCUAGCGAGGUGAGAGGUGCCCGUACCGCAAACCGACACAGGUAGGCGAGGAGAGAAUCCUAAGGUGAUCGAGAGAACUCUCGUUAAGGAACUCGGCAAAAUGACCCCGUAACUUCGGGAGAAGGGGUGCUCUGUUAGGGUGCAAGCCCGAGAGAGCCGCAGUGAAUAGGCCCAGGCGACUGUUUAGCAAAAACACAGGUCUCUGCGAAGCCGUAAGGCGAAGUAUAGGGGCUGACGCCUGCCCGGUGCUGGAAGGUUAAGAGGAGCGCUUAGCGUAAGCGAAGGUGCGAAUUGAAGCCCCAGUAAACGGCGGCCGUAACUAUAACGGUCCUAAGGUAGCGAAAUUCCUUGUCGGGUAAGUUCCGACCCGCACGAAAGGCGCAACGAUCUGGGCACUGUCUCAACGAGAGACUCGGUGAAAUUAUAGUACCUGUGAAGAUGCAGGUUACCCGCGACAGGACGGAAAGACCCCGUGGAGCUUUACUGCAGCCUGAUAUUGAAUGUUGGUACAGCUUGUACAGGAUAGGUAGGAGCCUUGGAAACCGGAGCGCCAGCUUCGGUGGAGGCAUCGGUGGGAUACUACCCUGGCUGUAUUGACCUUCUAACCCGCCGCCCUUAUCGGGCGGGGAGACAGUGUCAGGUGGGCAGUUUGACUGGGGCGGUCGCCUCCUAAAAGGUAACGGAGGCGCCCAAAGGUUCCCUCAGAAUGGUUGGAAAUCAUUCGCAGAGUGUAAAGGCACAAGGGAGCUUGACUGCGAGACCUACAAGUCGAGCAGGGACGAAAGUCGGGCUUAGUGAUCCGGUGGUUCCGCAUGGAAGGGCCAUCGCUCAACGGAUAAAAGCUACCCCGGGGAUAACAGGCUUAUCUCCCCCAAGAGUCCACAUCGACGGGGAGGUUUGGCACCUCGAUGUCGGCUCAUCGCAUCCUGGGGCUGUAGUCGGUCCCAAGGGUUGGGCUGUUCGCCCAUUAAAGCGGUACGCGAGCUGGGUUCAGAACGUCGUGAGACAGUUCGGUCCCUAUCCGUCGCGGGCGCAGGAAAUUUGAGAGGAGCUGUCCUUAGUACGAGAGGACCGGGAUGGACGCACCGCUGGUGUACCAGUUGUUCUGCCAAGGGCAUCGCUGGGUAGCUAUGUGCGGACGGGAUAAGUGCUGAAAGCAUCUAAGCAUGAAGCCCCCCUCAAGAUGAGAUUUCCCAUUCCGCAAGGAAGUAAGAUCCCUGAAAGAUGAUCAGGUUGAUAGGUCUGAGGUGGAAGUGUGGCGACACAUGGAGCUGACAGAUACUAAUCGAUCGAGGACUUAACCAAUUU